Molecule: long non-coding RNA, 1267 nt
Filed under: Macaca mulatta (Rhesus monkey)
Lineage: Eukaryota; Metazoa; Chordata; Mammalia; Primates; Cercopithecidae
Description: lncRNA (ENSMMUG00000059612.1)
Source: RNAcentral
ACAACAAAAAUAAACCUUCUUUCCAGUUUGGCCGACAUAUAAAUCAGAUUGUCUUCAGAGUUACUGGUUUACUGAAUAAAUGAUUACAAGUAAAACUGAAAGUAUUUAUUAAAUUUCUACAAUCUUCAAUAGCAAAGCAUAGAGAACAAAAUGGAUUAGAUUUAGUCAGUACUGAAGGAGAAAGAAGUGGUAGGUGCAGACUGAAGAACCUGGGAUAUUAGAUUUCCCAACCUCUUUUUCUAUGACCUAGAGCAGAUGGCUUCAUAAAGGCACUAUUUCUUCAUGGUUGAGAGUAGAAGCUCUACAGCCUGAUUAGUCUAUCCAAAGUCCAGCUCUACCACUUACCAUUUGUGUAAACUUGAGCAACUUAUUAAACCUCUUGGUUCAUUGGUUUCCCCAAUUCUAACAUGGGAAUAAUUACAGUACCCAUCUCCAGGGAUUGGUGUGAGGAUUAAAUGACUUAACAACUUAAACAUGGGCCAGUUAAAAUUUUCCCAUCGCUUAACAUGCACCUGACAAAUAUUAGCAAGCAUUAUGCCAGCUGGAACUUUCCCCCUUUGACUCCCAGUUAAGAAACUAUAUUGGAAUGCAAGUGAGAGUGAAAAAGAGAAGAAUAUACUAUGGACAUAACAUAUUGCUUGGUGAAGAUUUAUAUGGUGCAAAGAUUUUUAUAAAUCAUUUUCCUGAGUUCCUCAAGAGUAUGUGAAAGGACUUCUUCUUCAUUCAUUCCUUGUUUCUGCAUUCAUUGCUUUUGUUUCUCUUCCCCAAUUAGUCACUCAUUCUGUUGCAGGAAAGAUCAAAUAAGAAGGUAUGUCAUUUUCAAUCAUAUCAUUGUCUUUUACACAUGUGUUUCUCAAUUUGAAUAAAUGGCAUUAUGCUAUAGACAUCAUCUUUUUUUUUUAAACUAAGUACUAUUAAGAUCUGUCCAUGUCACUAUGUGGAAAUGUGGCUCCUUGCUUCUAAUUGUUGCAUAGUGUUCUUGAGCGUCCACCCGUCUCAUUUUAUAAAUCCAUCCCCUCAAUGCUGGUAAACAGUGGCCUCUAACUCCCAGUUACUGCAUGUAACAUUGUAGUAGACAUCCUCAUUCAUAUCCCCUUUAAAAGAGGUUCUCCUUAAUCAUUUGAAGUUGUCAGAAUCUCCUCAACCUAGUAUAACCAAAAAGAUAUCUAAUGAAGAAAAUUCAUUAUUUUUUAAUUACUGUUAUUUUUGAUUGACAAAUCUUUAUAUACAUUUUUGGUGUGCAAUGUGAUGUUUUGAUAUAUGUAUA